RNAcentral lists this RNase P RNA (409 nucleotides) under bovine gut metagenome. Its description in RNAcentral is "Bacterial RNase P class A". It matches the Rfam family "Bacterial RNase P class A". From Rfam's summary of the family: Ribonuclease P (RNase P) is a ubiquitous endoribonuclease, found in archaea, bacteria and eukarya as well as chloroplasts and mitochondria. Its best characterised activity is the generation of mature 5'-ends of tRNAs by cleaving the 5'-leader elements of precursor-tRNAs. The record is from RNAcentral.
GGACGGCUUGCCGCUGGCGAAUCUCUUCGGGGAAGAGCGAGAGGAAAGUCCGGGCAACACAGGGCACUCCGCUACCUAACGGGUAGAAGUCCGCGAGGGUUUGCAUGUGCAGAAGAAAACAACCGCCACCGCAGUCUUUCAUGCUUAUGAUGCUGCGAGGGUAAGGGUGAGAAGGUGGGGUAAGAGCCCACCAGGCGUAUGGCGACAUACGUGCUGUGCACACCGGAGGUUGAAAGUUCGCGUAUACCGGCAACGCACCGACUACGUUCUUUCGAGGACGCAAGGGUGAGAGAGGGCGGCCCGUCCGAGCCGGAGGGUAGAACGAUAGAGGCGCAGUGAGAGCUGCGUCCUAGAUAAAUGGCAAGCACCCGCCUCGGCGGGCACAGAACCCGGCUUACAGGCCCACUGC